AUUGAACGCUGGCGGCAUGCCUUACACAUGCAAGUCGAACGGUAACGCGGGGGCAACCCUGGCGACGAGUGGCGAACGGGUGAGUAAUACAUCGGAACAUAUCCAGUAGCGGGGGAUAACCUAUCGAAAGAUUGGCUAAUACCGCAUACGAUCUACGGAUGAAAGCAGGGGACCGCAAGGCCUUGCACUAUUGGAGUGGCCGAUGUCAGAUUAGCUAGUUGGUGGGGUAAAAGCCUACCAAGGCGACGAU
RNAcentral lists this ribosomal RNA (250 nucleotides) under uncultured bacterium. RNAcentral's name for it is "partial 16S ribosomal RNA". It matches the Rfam family "Bacterial small subunit ribosomal RNA", at positions 30 to 280 of the family's 1533-position model. The record is from RNAcentral.